ACUCAAUAGAUACCCUGGUAGUCCUGGCAGUAAACGGUGCGCGUUUGGUGUGGGAGGAUUCGACCCCUUCUGUGCCGGAGCUAAACGCGUUAAACGCGCCGCCUGGGGAGUACGGUCGCAAGAUUAAAACUCAAAGAAAUUGACGGGGGCCCGCACAAGCGGUGGAGUAUGUGGCUUAAUUCGAUGCAACGCGAAGAACCUUACCUAGCCUUGACAUGCAUCUCUAAGUCGGUGAAAGCCGGCGAGUGUAGCAAUACACAAUUUGCACAGGUGCUGCAUGGCUGUCGUCAGCUCGUGUCGUGAGAUGUUGGGUUUAAGU
RNAcentral lists this ribosomal RNA (319 nucleotides) under uncultured bacterium. RNAcentral's name for it is "bacterial SSU rRNA". It matches the Rfam family "Bacterial small subunit ribosomal RNA", at positions 770 to 1085 of the family's 1533-position model. The record is from RNAcentral.